CUGGGCGUAGCUCAAUCAGGCUAGAGCGCCGGCCUUGGAAGCCGGAGACCGUCGGUUCGAGUCCGACCGCCCAGACCA
This 78-nucleotide transfer RNA is filed under the name Alphaproteobacteria bacterium. RNAcentral's name for it is "tRNA-Pro". It matches the Rfam family "tRNA". From Rfam's summary of the family: Transfer RNA (tRNA) molecules are approximately 80 nucleotides in length. Lineage: Bacteria; Pseudomonadati; Pseudomonadota; Alphaproteobacteria. The record is from RNAcentral. RNAcentral also lists the same sequence under 1 other name.